GUGGGGAAUCUUGGGCAAUGGGCGCAAGCCUGACCCAGCGACGCCGCGUGGGGGAUGAAGGCCUUCGGGUUGUAAACCCCUGUCAGGGGGGGCGAAAGCCUUCCGGUGAAUAGCCGGGAGGUCUGACAGUACCCCCAAAGGAAGCCCCGGCUAACUCCGUGCCAGCAGCCGCGGUAAUACGGAGGGGGCUAGCGUUAUUCGGAAUUACUGGGCGUAAAGCGCGCGCAGGUGGCGCAGUAAGUGGCUGGUGAAAGCCCUCGGCUCAACCGAGGAACUGCCUGCCAAACUGUUGCGCUUGAGGCCGGGAGGGGGAAGCGGAAUUCCUGGUGUAGCGGUGAUAUGCGUAGAUACCAGGAGGAACACCGGUGGCGAAGGCGGCUUCCUGGACCGGCUCUGACACUCAUGCGCGAAAGCGUGGGGAGCAAACAGGAUUAGAAACCCCAGUAGUCC
Molecule: ribosomal RNA, 450 nt
Filed under: uncultured bacterium
Lineage: Bacteria
Description: bacterial SSU rRNA
Rfam family: Bacterial small subunit ribosomal RNA
Source: RNAcentral